Coccinella septempunctata (seven-spotted ladybird) is the source of this 237-nucleotide long non-coding RNA. RefSeq lists it as uncharacterized. The transcript is spliced from 2 exons. Lineage: Eukaryota; Metazoa; Arthropoda; Insecta; Coleoptera; Coccinellidae. The record is from RefSeq and is a predicted model, not a curated record.
UUACAGAGAAUAGAUGGGACACCUCUUAACCCCCACCACAAUUGAUGUUUUUAGUGAGGAUCGCAACCGCUUGGUGGCGCUACAUUCGCAGUUAGUUUAUUGUUCAGCCGCUAGGCCCGCUAGGUGCGAUUCAAGCAUGGCUUCAGUUCAGAAGUUGAGAGGUAUUAGUGAUUUGUAAGCUAAUUUAUACCUUUUAAAAAUGAUAAAACUGAACAAUUGUUGUGUACCUGGAUGUAU